Non-coding RNA from Myriangium duriaei CBS 260.36, 116 nucleotides. The record is from the annotation of a GenBank genome assembly. NCBI's taxonomy places the organism in Eukaryota, Fungi, Ascomycota, Dothideomycetes, Myriangiales, Myriangiaceae.
GGCGUGGUAGCAAAGUGGUUACUGCGUGUGACUAGAAUUUGAGGUCGCUAGUUUAACUAGCCUCAUCGUGCUAUCACAUUCCUUCGGGAGCGUAGGUUCGAGUCCUGCCCACGUCG